Papaver somniferum (opium poppy) is the source of this 314-nucleotide long non-coding RNA. RefSeq lists it as uncharacterized. Lineage: Eukaryota; Viridiplantae; Streptophyta; Magnoliopsida; Ranunculales; Papaveraceae. The record is from RefSeq and is a predicted model, not a curated record. The transcript has 3 exons.
AAAAAAAACUAUAGUAUGUCAUAAAAAGCAAAGAAAAAAGGUAUCAGUGAUUACGGUGAAGGUCGUACCGUUUCUGGUCAAUCAUCAUGGUGAUGAUUGAAGUUAAGAGGGAGAGAGUCAUCUGUAGUCAAACCGACAGAAGUCAAAUUUCAACCAGCCUCCAGUCUUAAACAAGGCUUUCGUUACUUACUACAGUUGCUGGGAGAAUGAAGGAAAAUGAGUCAGGUAUCCAUUUCAAGUUUAAGUACAUCCCUUAUCCAGUGGCUCGGAGUAUUAGUGUAUGAAGUCUCCCGGAUUGACUUCAUCAAGACGUG